This 430-nucleotide ribosomal RNA is filed under the name uncultured bacterium. Its description in RNAcentral is "bacterial SSU rRNA". It matches the Rfam family "Bacterial small subunit ribosomal RNA", at positions 354 to 796 of the family's 1533-position model. The record is from RNAcentral.
GUGGGGAAUAUUGCACAAUGGGCGCAAGCCUGAUGCAGCAACGCCGCGUGAGGGACGACGGCCUUCGGGUUGUAAACCUCUUUUAGCAGGGAAGAAGCGAAAGUGACGGUGCCUGCAGAAAAAGCACCGGCUAACUACGUGCCAGCAGCCGCGGUAAUACGUAGGGUGCAAGCGUUGUCCGGAAUUAUUGGGCGUAAAGAGCUCGUAGGCGGUUUGUCGCGUCUGCUGUGAAAACCCGAGGCUCAACCUCGGGCCUGCAGUGGGUACGGGCAGAGUAGAGUGCGGUAGGGGAGAUUGGAAUUCCGGGUGUAGCGGUGGAAUGCGCAGAUAUCAGGAGGAACACCGAUGGCGAAGGCAGAUCUCUGGGCCGUAACUGACGCUGAGGAGCGAAAGCGUGGGGAGCGAACAGGAUUAGAUACCCGGGUAGUCC